RNAcentral lists this long non-coding RNA (7077 nucleotides) under Nicotiana benthamiana. RNAcentral describes it as "long non-coding RNA (NBEN_LNC009645)". The record is from RNAcentral. Lineage: Eukaryota; Viridiplantae; Streptophyta; Magnoliopsida; Solanales; Solanaceae.
AAAAAGAAAUGAAAAGAGGUUUUGAUCCAAUUGGGCCAGUUUUGCACCCAGAUCUGUCCCUAACCCGAGGCCAAAACCCAGGGAACCCAGUUCAGACCCCCACUAACUCAACAUGACCCUGUUUUGUUCCCCCUCAAUCACGACCGUUGGAUCAUAACAUUCCAUUAAUUAUUUAAUUGUCCGAAUUAGACCCCCCCUAUUCAAAACCCUUCAAUUCACCUCAUUCACCCAAAUAACCCCAAAUUCAGACCCUAUAAUCCUUGAACCCCUCUGAACCUUUAACCACCGUUAAUCCCCUUUGAAUCAGCCUCAAUUUCCUCGAAUUUUGAAUCUGAGUUCUCAAGGACCCUAACUUCCUUUCAUUUCCAAUUUUUUGGAAAUUUUUAGGACUUUUGAACCCAAGAAUUCCAUGAGUCCAUUGCUCUUGAUAAGAAUAGUGGAUUGAUGAUUGUCUAAAGUGCAUUUUACCUCGGAUUAUUUGGGCAGAAUCCGAAGUUAGUCCAUAUUUUAUUGGAAGAAUAAGAAUUAGGUAAUUUCUUGUACAAUUUUCUUCUUUAAUUUCCUUUUUGUUUUGGUCGUUCCCUCCUUUUAUGUUAAUUGCCUUUCAUUUAACCGCAUAAUUUAGGUAUUCUUUUCUGUCUAUUUGCUUCGUUAAUUGCAUGUUUCAAGAUUUUGUCAAUUAAAAAUUCAAUGUUUCACAAGUCCAAAUUGCUUAGAUUGAAUUAUUAGGUUUAGUUUUCUUAUAAUUCUCCUAUUCUGUUUCUCCUUUUAUUUUUUUUUUUCUGAUUGUUUGUUUUUUGUUAUUUUUGUUGUUCUUGCUAGUUUAGUAAUAUAAUUAAGAUGGAGUUAAAAGGUUAAUUAAUAGUCUGUUUAGCCAAAUCCUGCUUACUUUUUAUUUUGCCGGAUUCAACUUCAUUUCAUUGUUUUGAAUUUAGCCAGUUUUGAUUCUUGGUUUCUUGGCCUAAUCAUGCUGGGUUUCUGUAACUCUUUGAAUCUGAGUUGAUUACCCACAUGUUUUGAUUGAUUAGGACUAAUUAAUUUUAACUUUAGGUUUGAAGCUCUGAGUAGUAGUUUUAACCUUAGUAAAUCUCAGAAAAUAAAAUGCAAUACCAUUAGGCAACCUAAUCACAUAGGUGAAGGUCUUAAAAUGGUUGUAAUUGAUUUGAAAUACUUUUCAUACUUGUCUCCAUCCUUGCUUAAAAGGCUGGUAUUGGAUAAGGGAAAGGACAAAUAGCUGUAAAAGAUACUCUACUAUUCUGAUUUUCAAAAUUUUCAGGUUAGGUUAUUUCUUUUUUAUGCCUUUUUGUUCACUAUAUAAAAGGAAAACAUUCCCUCACACACACACACACACACAUUCUGCAUGAUUCUCUGCACAAAUAUUCCUGAAAACACAUAAGAUUUUUGAACCCUAAGAAAUACACUCUACAAGUUCAACUGCCUUAUUUUUCCUUGGAAUUUUUGAAAAAACUUAAAGAACUUCUUUAAAUAUUUCUGGGUUUUCAUUAUCCAUAAAUGGUUUGAAGCUUAAAAUUUCUCUUUUGGGAUCUAUUUGGCUUGUUGUUGCUGUGUUGGGUUAUUGCUGUUGUUUCCUUUUUUUGAAGUUUUCGGCCAGUUUCCUUUCAUCUUAUACUUGUUGUUUUUCUAUUGCUAUUCAAGGUACACAUUUUCUUCCAUGCUCAAGUGUUUGUAAAUGGAGUUUAAAGAUAAAUACAAGUUGUUCUUUCCUGUCAAUGAUGUAUAUCUAUGUUUUCUUGCUAUGAUUUAUCCACUGAAGUUUCAAAUAUUGAAGCUCUUCUUUGAAAUAUGUGAUUCUUUGUCUAUUUGGUUUUAAAUCAUGAGAAUAUGUUUCCUUGUAUGAGUUUAGCAUUGGUCAUUUGUUUACUUCAGUUGGUAUAUACUUCUUUUUUGUUGCAUUGAUCAAGUAGCAUGUUAGAUCCCCAUAUUUGAAACUUUGUUUAUUCAUUGAGUCUAACCUCUACAUGGUCAGAUUCAUGGAUUACACUACCCCCCCUUCGUUCAUUCUUGUAUUGGUCUAAGGCGGCAUAUCAUUCCUUUGGGUUUGAAGCCCUUGUUAGUUUGUGAGUUUGACCCUUAUUAUAGUCAAACCCAUAAAUCACAUUGUUUUUUAUCGUUGCAUUGUUUGUUGAGCUUGGUUUGUUAAUAUAGUAGAUCUAUGUAUCUGAAGACAUUUUCGUGAAUCUAAAGAUUCAUGAAAGUCUAAGUUGAAACUUGAAACCAAGGCUGGUUUGACAGUAAGAAGCCUCAGAGUUGGAACUAAGUUUUAGCAUAUAAGGAACAAUUCCAUAGCUAAUUUUUCUUGCAAAUUAAUGCUCAUUCAAAGGAGUUUAUAGAAGAUUUGGAGUUAGGAAGAAUGCCACCCUUACCUUAAUUAUUCCUCCUUUUCCCUCAGACACAAUGCUGUAUUUAGAAGUGCUUUGUAAAUUUAUGGACUUUUGUUAAGUAAAUGGAAUGUUGGAGUGUUCUAAGUUCGAGAUUUGACUAUUUUAAUUCUUAGUUUAGGUUCAUAGCAUAUGAUUUUUUGUAAUGAGUACAGUCCAGCAUCACAGAAUCACUUGAGUAUAAUACAAAUUGGGCCAGACUUGCAACAAGGCCCAAAUUUGGGAACCACCUAAGCAAGUCUAGGCCCAGGUGAAUGGACCCGGGCAUUAAAUACAGUAAUUACCUUUAUUUAUAAAUUCCUCUUGUAAAUUCCAGUAUAAAUUGUAUGUCUUAAAAAUCAUAUUAAUCUACUUAAUUCUAGACUCGGAUUUUAUUGUUUUAAUUUUGAUUGUCUUCUUUAAAAAAAGUGAUGCGAGUUAUAACUUUGCAAAGUGUGCAUUGUGUAAGGUUGGGCUAAAGAUGUAGAGGUAAAUAUGUCCUGUCCAUAGAUAUUCACAAUUGGGCCCGCCUGAAGCCCAAUAUGGGCAAACACUCAAUUAAAACUCCAACAAGGGAAAGAGCCCUUACGUUCUUUUCUGAUGGGCCAAACUUUAAGCCUAAAUGCAACUUUUCAAAGCUGAAUUUUUUCAGAUUUGAUCGAGUGAUGAACGCCCAAGCCUAAAUCCUUUUUAAAAGAAUUAAUUUAAGCCCAUCACACUUACACUUUAAGUUAGAUAUUCUUAGUCUGAACUUUAAAAUUGAAUUAAAUAUAAGUAUCCUUAGUCUUAAUUAAGUGAAAUGCAAUCCCUUUUGUUAAAAUAAAAUUGAUAUGUGCUACAAACAAAACCCUAACUUAUGGCCCUCAUAUUAAGUGCUAACUUAGUAUAGUAAAAUAUAUUUCUUAAACACUCUUAAUUUUAUUUAGGCCCGACUUAAACUAUUAUUGUAAUUAUGUAUAUUCACGUAAUAUAAUUACAAAAUUAUUUGUAAAAAUUUACUCGAGGGAUGCGUUUGCGCAACUUCAACUAAACUUUCUUAAUAAAUAAAUAAAGCAUUAUUAAUUAUGAACACGUUCGUGUGAAAUAAUUUUUGACGCGCCAAAGGAAAAAUGUAUUCGUACGCGUAAUUCAGUUUAUUAAAUACGAAUAAAUCAAGAUUAAAAGCGGUUAAAAGAAAAAUACACAUAGGUCCUAGAAAUGAGUAAUUAAACAAUUUGAGCCAAGUAAUAAUCACUAAGCGACCUUGCUAGAACCACAGAACCCGGGAAUGCCUAACACUUUCUCCCGGGUUAAGAAAAUUUCUUACUUAAAAUUUCUGGUUCGUAGAGUUUUUAAAAAUAAAAAUCAAAAUUUUCUCGAUUUGUAAUUUUAAAAUAAAACAAUGACUUGGAACACCAAAUAAACUAUUUCAAGUAGCGACUCUGAUAAAUAAAAUAAUCUCAUUUCGGUUAAUAUCACUUUAAAUUGGAAAAUACUCCCAUAUACCCUCGGGGUGUAAACAUGGAGGUGUGAAAGCUCUGGCAAUCUGUUGUAGAUCUCGAACCCAGAAUCUCUGGUUUAGGGUUCAAGAAUUCGAGUUUGUUAAUGUGAUUUUUAUUUGGAUUUGUUGUCAAUAUUACUGUAUUUUAUGGACUUAAUGUGCUAAUUGUCAUUUACCACUUUGAUAUUACCUGAACUGCAUUUAAAUGUCUUUUUACGCUUCCUUCCGAGUCUUCUAAAAAUGGUCUUACGUUCGCGUGGCCGACCUUUCUGUUAGAGUUAUACCAAAUAGAACGGGACUAGGAAAGCAACAAGGCUGGGCAGACUUUCGUGCCCACAGUACGUUUCGCCCUCCUCGACUCGAGUUUGUCCGCUCGGGUGUUGAUAUUUAAUUUUAUCUAUAUAUUUUAGAUAUGCAAAAAUACCUUUAAAAUAGCACACACACACGCACACACACACACACACACAUAUAUAUAUAUAUGCACACACACACAUACAUAUAUAAGCAUGCCCAAGGUUUUUAUUAUUUUUUUCAUAAUUUUAAGGGUUUAAAUUGAUUUAUUUUCUCCCUUUUUAUCCAUAAAAUCCCUAAUAAAUAUUAUGAUAGUUUAUUUAUUGUAUUUCUAUAUUUGUGCCAAAAUAUGGCUAAAUUAAUUUUUAUAUAUUUUUGCAAUUACAUUUAGUAUUUUAAAGCUAAAUUGCAUAUAAUUACGAUGUUAGCCCAUUUUAAGAUAUAAUUAUGUUUUAUUGCAUAAAAUUAUAUCAUGUAUUUUUAAAUUUCUAAUUAUGCAUUCUAAAUCAUUUUAGAACUUUAAGUUAUUUUUUAGAAAGUAUUUACUAUCUUUUAUAAAUUAAAUAGUGAACAAUUGCCUAUUUAAAUUAUAGUCGAAUUGACUUUCAAUUAUAGCCAAGUCGGACCCCAAUUCACAACCAAAUUUUACAAUUAAAAAACCCCACGCACACCCUAUUAACCCAUACCCAAACCUGAAACCCGCUUACCUUUUGAAUCUCGACCGUUGAUCUUCCAGAUCAACGGUCUCCGUUAUUACCUUCCUUUUUAAUCUAACAACCCCCAAACCCUACCAUAUUCUCUCAUUUGCGCCGCCUCUGAAUCCUUUCCUCCUAUCUUCUCUCUUAGACACCAAUUCAAACCUAAUCACUAUCCACCUUCUCCGUACACCUCCCUCGCCGAAAACCAUGGCCUCUCAUCAUCUCCUGGCCUCUGCUUCACCCUACGCUGGUUUGACACCACCCUAAGGUCCUCAAGUGAGCAUAGAGCGGUUCAGCUCCUAUCCAUGUUCUUUCACGCCAUUUAUUAUGUCAAAAACCCUAAUUUCGUAGUUCUAUCCUGGGUUUCUGUGUGUGUUUUUGAUAUUAUGUUCGACUAGUCUGUAUGUUUCUCAUGAAUAUUCUGUGAUUAUGUGAACUUUACCCUAUGUUUUCUUGUUAAGUUCUUUGACUUCGAUUAUGCCUGCCUAUUAUGUGUUUACUCCUAGAAAUUUGUGUUUAUUUCCCCUUAUCAGUACCAUAAAUUGUUUUGAAUAAUGGAUUUAAGUGAUUCUUUUUACCUACUCUUGUUUGUGUUAUAUUUGUUUCGUUUAGUUGUUAUGCUUUCCAAGUAUACCUUUAAUGGAAUCCCUAAUUCCCUAUGAUUGGUAUGCUCUGUUCCCUACUGAUUUUCAACCUCAAAAUAUUUUCUUGCCUUAUUUUGUGGUUGAUUGGGUUGUCAAACUGAUUCUUAGACAUUUUCCUUAAUUAAAAUUUGUCGAACCUAGCCCCUAUUACAUACUCUGUACUAUGCUCAUUUCCUUAUGUGUUAUAUUCCAAUCUCAUAUGAUCCCCUUCCUUAUUUGUUGCAUGCUUUAUACCGAUGGUAAAUUACUCCCUUAGUUAAGGGAGACUUGAAUGAUUUUCGAUUCUUAAUUGAUUAUGCAGUUCUCCAAUUGCUUCUUCCCUUAUUUACUUGACUUUAAAAACUGUUAUAUAUACUUUCCUCUCUUUUCAUUACACAGACGAACAAUGACACUGUUCUGGACUCUCUCUUACACACAUACAUACUCUCUUGCUUCUCUUGAUAUUUAUUUGAUACUCAGUCGGCUUCAAGCCAAAACUCAGUGAUUACAUUGCUCUGCUGCUUUAUUGUUCUACCGCUCUACUGCUCUACACAUUACUACUCUACUUCCCUUCAUUGUACUGCUUUUCACUCCCCACUCUUCAUUAAUUCUCUCAUUGUUACCGGUAUGUUUUAAUUUUAACUUACAACAUCCAAAAUAAUGUGUCCCUAUUUGUAUUGCACUUCCUUUUGUUUCUCUUGUGCUUUUACUUGUAGUUCUGAUGUCUCCCUUACAAUUAACAUGCCUAUUUUGCCAUGUUGUUACCCUUCCAUGUAAUCCAACAUAGCUAUUGCUUCCUUACAUUUUUCUACUACUAUUCUGCCCUACCCCCUAACUGCAACACAUUAUAAUCAUGACACCUAGUUACUAUGUGACCUUGAACCUUCCCUCCCUGAACCUAGUGUGUAACUUUGUUUAGCACCCCUUAAAUCUAAUGUUGUUAAGCUCCUGGUAUGAAUACUUUGUAAUAGACUAUUUUUGUGACUAUUCAGUUUUGUAGUACUUCUCUGGUGUUAACCGGUGUGCUUUCAGAUAUGAACUACUUGUCCCAAUUCCUCCUUUCCCUGUUUAUGUUUGGACUAUGUAUGUUGAUUUGGUUUUGAGUUUUUCAUUGUCCUAUUUCUUUUCUUGUUCAAACCUGUUUUCACUAAGGCAACCUCUUAUAUUACUUCCCAAAACUUAUUUCAAACUAAAUUUUCAAAAUUGUUUCCAACUCAAUUCUUUAAAUCUAUCUCAAGCACUCUCACAUAUAUUCUUAAACCACUAGGUUCUGUCUCUUUUUUGUGAGCGUUGUCUUGGGACCCUUGAGCUCCCUCUGAACUUGGACACAUACAAGUUGGCCUUUCCACACUGCGCUUACUCUGUCUUGGCUAUAAAAUCUAGGUGUGAGCACUACCGGGAUCCCUUGAGGUCUUUGGGGAACUCUGCCACACCCAGUUAUGAGAAAGCCCAUGGAACAAUCUUGGCACUUGAUGUGAUUUACUACAUAUCUCAGGGAGGAAGUCCAAAUAAGGUGCUGAAAGGUUGGGCAUGUUUUCAGGCUCUAUAUAGUGUAACUUUUAUCUUUCUUUUCUGCUUAUGUAAUUCAUUAAAUUAUUGAUUUGUAA